CCAUGUCAAGAUUUGGAGAAAAGGCAUUCCAUACAGAGAAACAGCAAGUGCAAAAUCCUUGGGAUGGGAAAGAUGGAUUUUGCCUUGAGCUGCUCGUCAAGUGGAAAUGCAUUUACUGAGAGAAGACUGGGGGAGAACAAUUUAUAAGGGAGGAAAUUAGAAGUUCUAUUCCAGGUCUGAACCCUGGUUCUUGUCUCCGGAUACCUGUGUGAAUUUCCUGAUUCCAAUUUUGGAUACCUCCCAGGAUGACAGCUUUUCAAUUUCCUUGUUGACAGAUUUUCAGGGUCUGUCUUGAGAAUGAUUAGCAGCUUUUAAUAUGUAGCCCCAAGUCUAUUCUUCCAUAGCCUGCACCCAUGUUUUGCUCAUAAAA
Long non-coding RNA from Pongo pygmaeus (Bornean orangutan), 370 nucleotides. RefSeq lists it as uncharacterized. The record is from RefSeq and is a predicted model, not a curated record. The transcript is spliced from 3 exons. Lineage: Eukaryota; Metazoa; Chordata; Mammalia; Primates; Hominidae.